UGGAUUUCUGUUUACUGGGUAUUCAUUCAAUCUCGGGGUUCUAGAUGGAAGCGUUUACGUCAAUUACACCCUAUGCGUCAUUGUUGAAAUCGUUAGUUUAGUUAUUUUGUUAAUUGUUGGAAACAAAAUAGGACGGAAAACAAUACACCUAAUUUGUUUUUAUACAACUGGUAUACUGGCGGGGAUAACAGUGAUCUGCAAAAUUAAUGCCAGUCAGGCUGUUGGGUAUUGGCUGUCGAUUAUAGCCGCCAUUUUUGGAAGGAUGUGUGGGGGAACAGGAUUUGGACUGAUAUUCACGUUUACGAGUGAGUUAUUCCCCACUUCGUUAAGGACCUUCGUCAUAUCAACGGGUUACACGUUUACCAUGAUCGGUGGUAUGGCUGGUCCCUAUGUCGCCAACAUGGAAGAGCUUAUCCGUUUCGAUAUGAACAACAUUUUGCCGUUCAUUGUGUUUGGGACGACAUCGUUGAUCGCCGGAUUCUUGUGUUCAUUCCUGCCGGAAACUUUGCAUCGAGACUUACCCCAGCACAUGAGUGACGUUCUUAAAAAACAAGAGACUGACUGUAAAGAACCUGAAGUGUUUUCAGCGCACAUGUGAUCCAAGUAGAAAAGAAAAGUCGGUUAUCGUGAGUUAUAAAACAAAAGGCCCAUGCAAAUGAAUACAGGAGC
Molecule: long non-coding RNA, 669 nt
Organism: Mizuhopecten yessoensis (Yesso scallop)
Lineage: Eukaryota; Metazoa; Mollusca; Bivalvia; Pectinida; Pectinidae
Exons: 3
Source: RefSeq, a predicted model, not a curated record